AGUGAACGCUGGCGGUAGGCCUAACACAUGCAAGUCGAACGGCAGCACAGUAAGAGCUUGCUCUUACGGGUGGCGAGUGGCGGACGGGUGAGGAAUACAUCGGAAUCUACUUUUUCGUGGGGGAUAACGUAGGGAAACUUACGCUAAUACCGCAUACGACCUACGGGUGAAAGCAGGGGAUCUUCGGACCUUGCGCGAUUGAAUGAGCCGAUGUCGGAUUAGCUAGUUGGCGGGGUAAAGGCCCACUAAUGCGACGAUCCGUAGCUGGUCUGAGAGGAUGAUCAGCCACACUGGAACUGAGACAGGGUCCAGACUCCUACGGGAGGCAGCAGUGGGGAAUAUUGGACAAUGGGCGCAAGCCUGAUCCAGCCAUACCGCGUGAGUGAAGAAGGACUUAGGGUUGUAAAGCCCUUAUGUUGGGAAAGAAAAGCAGCAGGUUAAUACCCCGCUGUUCUGACGGUACCCAAAGAAUAAGCACCGGCUAACUUCGUG
Molecule: ribosomal RNA, 492 nt
Filed under: uncultured bacterium
Lineage: Bacteria
Description: partial 16S ribosomal RNA
Rfam family: Bacterial small subunit ribosomal RNA
Source: RNAcentral